AGGACGAACGCUGGCGGUGUGCCUCAUACAUGCAAGUCGAACGAGAAACGUUCUUCGGAAGCGUGGAAAGUGGCGGACGGGUGAGUAAUAUGUAGGAAAUCUGCCCUAGAGAGGGGGACAACAGAGGGAAGCUUCUGCUAAUACCCCAUAUGAGCUUGGUUGAAAUACCAAUCUUGAAAACUCCGGUGCUCUAGGAUGAGCCUGCAUCUGAUUAGCUAGUUGGUGGUGUAAUGGACCACAAAGGCGACGAUCAGUAGCUGGUUUGAGAGGAUGAUCAGCCACAAUGGGACUGAGACACGGCCCAUACUCCUACGGGAGGCAGCAGUAGGGAAUUUUGCGCAAUGGGGAAACCCUGACGCAGCAACACCGCGUGAAUGUUAAGCCCUUCGGGGUAUAAAGUUCUGUCAAUGGGGAAGAAUAAAUGACUGUACCCAUAAAGGAAGCACCGGCUAACUCCGUGCCAGCCGCGGC
This 471-nucleotide ribosomal RNA is filed under the name uncultured bacterium. Its description in RNAcentral is "bacterial SSU rRNA". It matches the Rfam family "Bacterial small subunit ribosomal RNA", at positions 26 to 518 of the family's 1533-position model. The record is from RNAcentral.